GUGUUCUGUUCCACUAUUUAUUCUCAAGCCUCAUAUCUGCCAUCUAUUUUCAACCAAUACCAAUCAAAUCACAUACAUGACCAAACAACCCAACAUAAGAUCUCUAUUUCUGACCAUUAAUUAAGUCAUGCAUCUUAGCAUCCCCACAAUAUCUGCAUUCCAAUAUAUUUAGAUGCAAUCGACUUGAUUACCCACUGUCCAUCUUCCUUGAACAUGUAAAUAUGAGUUGAAUACAUGUCCUUCCAACAUGUCAUUUUCUUUAUUUUUAUUUGUUCUCUUCAACAUCCCAGCAGAGGAACAGACAAAUGCAUGCAGGAUAUGAAGUCUAGCAGUUCCAGCACGUAAAAAG
RNAcentral lists this unclassified non-coding RNA (349 nucleotides) under Hevea brasiliensis (rubber tree). The record is from RNAcentral. Lineage: Eukaryota; Viridiplantae; Streptophyta; Magnoliopsida; Malpighiales; Euphorbiaceae.